This 467-nucleotide ribosomal RNA is filed under the name uncultured bacterium. Its description in RNAcentral is "bacterial SSU rRNA". It matches the Rfam family "Bacterial small subunit ribosomal RNA", at positions 30 to 518 of the family's 1533-position model. The record is from RNAcentral.
CGAACGCUGGCGGCGUGCUCAUACAUGCAAGCGAACGAUAAGGCACCUUCGGGUGUACAUAAGUGGCGGACGGGUGAGUAAUAUGUAGAGAAUCUGCCCUAGAGAGUGGGACAACAGUUGGAAACGACUGCUAAUACCGCAUAUGAGCGUACCUGAAAUGGUAUUCUUGAAAAACUCCGGUGCUCUGGGAUGAGUCUGCAUCUGAUUAGCUAGUUGGGGGUGUAAUGGACCACCAAGGCGACGAUCAGUAGCUGGUUUGAGAGGAUGAUCAGCCACAAUGGGACUGAGACACGGCCCAUACUCCUACGGGAGGCAGCAGUAGGGAAUUUUGCGCAAUGGGGGAAACCCUGAACGCAGCAACGCCGCGUGACCGAUGAAGCCCUUCGGGGUGUAAAGGUCUGUCAGUGGGGACGAAUAUUGACGGUACCCACAGAGGAAGCAUCGGCUAACUCCGUGCCAGCCGCCGC